Molecule: ribosomal RNA, 497 nt
Filed under: uncultured bacterium
Lineage: Bacteria
Description: partial 16S ribosomal RNA
Rfam family: Bacterial small subunit ribosomal RNA
Source: RNAcentral
GACGAACGCUGGCGGCGUGCCUAAUACAUGCAAGUUGAGCGAUGAAGAUUGGUGCUUGCACCAAUUUGAAGAGCAGCGAACGGGUGAGUAACGCGUGGGGAAUCUGCCUUUGAGCGGGGGACAACAUUUGGAAACGAAUGCUAAUACCGCAUAACAACUUUAAACAUAAGUUUUAAGUUUGAAAGAUGCAAUUGCAUCACUCAAAGAUGAUCCCGCGUUGUAUUAGCUAGUUGGUGAGGUAAAGGCUCACCAAGGCGAUGAUACAUAGCCGACCUGAGAGGGUGAUCGGCCACAUUGGGACUGAGACACGGCCAAAACUCCUACGGGAGGCAGCAGUAGGGAAUCUUCGGCAAUGGACGAAAGUCUGACCGAGCAACGCCGCGUGAGUGAAGAAGGUUUUCGGAUCGUAAAACUCUGUUGGUAGAGAAGAACGUUGGUGAGAGUGGAAAGCUCAUCAAGUGACGGUAACUACCCAGAAAGGGACGGCUAACUACGUG